UUGCUAAGGUGUUGCUAUGUGGUUGCUAGGGUACCCGGGAUGGUUGCUAGGGUGUUGCUAUAUGGCUGAUAGGGUACCCGGGGCUGUUGCUAAGGUGUUGCUAUGCGGUUGCUAGGGUGUUGCUAUGC
Sinocyclocheilus anshuiensis is the source of this 128-nucleotide long non-coding RNA. RefSeq lists it as uncharacterized. The transcript is spliced from 3 exons. Lineage: Eukaryota; Metazoa; Chordata; Actinopteri; Cypriniformes; Cyprinidae. The record is from RefSeq and is a predicted model, not a curated record.